Molecule: transfer RNA, 71 nt
Filed under: Ichthyophis glutinosus (Ceylon caecilian)
Lineage: Eukaryota; Metazoa; Chordata; Amphibia; Gymnophiona; Ichthyophiidae
Description: tRNA-Leu
Rfam family: tRNA
About the family: Transfer RNA (tRNA) molecules are approximately 80 nucleotides in length. Their secondary structure includes four short double-helical elements and three loops (D, anti-codon, and T loops).
Source: RNAcentral
ACUUUUAAAGGAUAGUAGUUAUCCAUUGGUCUUAGGAACCAUGAUUCUUGGUGCAAAUCCAUGUAAAAGUU